This 457-nucleotide ribosomal RNA is filed under the name uncultured bacterium. Its description in RNAcentral is "partial 16S ribosomal RNA". It matches the Rfam family "Bacterial small subunit ribosomal RNA", at positions 338 to 795 of the family's 1533-position model. The record is from RNAcentral.
CCUACGGGAGGCAGCAGUGGGGAAUAUUGCACAAUGGGGGAAACCCUGAUGCAGCGACGCCGCGUGAGUGAAGAAGUAUUUCGGUAUGUAAAGCUCUAUCAGCAGGGAAGAAACCCACCCUCCGGGGUGGCUGACGGUACCUGACUAAGAAGCCCCGGCUAACUACGUGCCAGCAGCCGCGGUAAUACGUAGGGGGCAAGCGUUAUCCGGAUUUACUGGGUGUAAAGGGAGCGUAGGUGGCAAGGCAAGUCAGAUGUGAAAACCCGGGGCCCAACCCCGGGAGUGCAUUUGAAACUGUCUGGCUAGAGUGCAGGAGAGGUAAGUGGAAUUCCUAGUGUAGCGGUGAAAUGCGUAGAUAUUAGGAGGAACACCAGUGGCGAAGGCGGCUUACUGGACUGUAACUGACGUUGAGGCUCGAAAGCGUGGGGAGCAAACAGGAUUAGAUACCCCAGUAGUC